This 373-nucleotide ribosomal RNA is filed under the name uncultured organism. RNAcentral's name for it is "bacterial SSU rRNA". It matches the Rfam family "Bacterial small subunit ribosomal RNA", at positions 526 to 896 of the family's 1533-position model. The record is from RNAcentral.
CGAAGGUGGCAAGCGUUACUCGGAAUUACUAGGCGUAAAGGGCAGGUAGGUGGUGUGGUGAGUCUGUUGUGGAGGCUCCCGGCUUAACCGGGAGAGGCCAACGGAAACUACCACACUUGAGUGUAGGAGAGGGUACUGGAAUUCCCGGUGUAGCGGUGAAAUGCGCAGAGAUCGGGAGGAACACCAAUGGCGAAAGCAGGUACCUGGACUAUUACUGACACUAAGCUGCGAAAGCUAGGGGAGCAAACAGGAUUAGAUACCCUGGUAGUCCUAGCUGUAAACGAUGCACAUUAGACGUGAGGGGUAUCGGACCCCCUUCGUGUCGACGCAAACGCAUUAAAUGUGCCGCCUGGGGAGUACGGCCGCAAGGUUG